This 301-nucleotide ribosomal RNA is filed under the name uncultured bacterium. RNAcentral's name for it is "partial 16S ribosomal RNA". It matches the Rfam family "Bacterial small subunit ribosomal RNA", at positions 509 to 809 of the family's 1533-position model. The record is from RNAcentral.
CAGCAGCCACGGGAAUACGAAGGGUGCAAGCGUUAAUCGGAAUUACUGGGCGUAAAGCGUGCGUAGGCGGUUUGUUAAGACGGAUGUGAAAUCCCCGGGCUCAACCUGGGAACUGCAUUUGUGACUGGCAAGCUAGAGUGUGGCAGAGGGGGGUGGAAUUCCGCGUGUAGCAGUGAAAUGCGCAGAUAUGCGGAGGAACACCGAUGGCGAAGGCAGCCCCCUGGGCCAACACUGACGCUCAUGCACGAAAGCGUGGGGAGCAAACAGGAUUAGAUACCCCCGUAGUCCCUGUCUCUUAUAA